AUUGAACGCUGGCGGCAGGCCUAACACAUGCAAGUCGAGCGGAUGAAGGGAGCUUGCUCCUGGAUUCAGCGGCGGACGGGUGAGUAAUGCCUAGGAAUCUGCCUGGUAGUGGGGGAUAACGUCCGGAAACGGGCGCUAAUACCGCAUACGUCCUGAGGGAGAAAGGGGGGGAUCUUCGGACCUCACGCUAUCAGAUGAGCCUAGGUCGGAUUAGCUAGUUGGUGGGGUAAAGGCCUACCAAGGCGACGAUCCGUAACUGGUCUGAGAGGAUGAUCAGUCACACUGGAACUGAGACACGGUCCAGACUCCUACGGGAGGCAGCAGUGGGGAAUAUUGGACAAUGGGCGAAAGCCUGAUCCAGCCAUGCCGCGUGUGUGAAGAAGGUCUUCGGAUUGUAAAGCACUUUAAGUUGGGAGGAAGGGCAGUAAGUUAAUACCUUGCUGUUUUGACGUUACCAACAGAAUAAGCACCGGCUAACUUUGUG
This 484-nucleotide ribosomal RNA is filed under the name uncultured bacterium. RNAcentral's name for it is "partial 16S ribosomal RNA". It matches the Rfam family "Bacterial small subunit ribosomal RNA", at positions 30 to 507 of the family's 1533-position model. The record is from RNAcentral.